UUUGAGUAAUAAUAACUUUUGAAUAACUUAUGGAGAACAUUGUUAAAGGUGAAAGUAUCACAGAAACAGGAACUCCAGGACAUUUAAAUAUAUCGAGAAUGAGGCUUUAUAAAGACUAUGAAGGCUAAUUUGUAUAUCAAAUAUAAACAGGGUUACUAGUGAAAACAAGGUCCAAAUAGGGUAAUUCAAAAAAGAAUAUUUAUAUCUUUUUAAAGAUCCCUCAGAAAACAAUAUUUGAAGCAAUCAGGAUAAUCUACAUAUUUCUUACAAAAAUACGUUUGUUUUACAAAGAGCAAGAUGAGCAAUUAAAAUAAAACUAAUAAGGAUGUUGUAAAUGUCUGGAGCUAAGAUUUCAGAAUUAGAGUUUGAGAUGAAGAAGCAAUUUCUUGGAUACUAAAGUUGUAGAGGUGUCAAUAUGAAUGUGUGGCUUCCUUGAAUAGUGCUCAUGUAUGCAGGGAUUGGUGUUGAUAAUGCAACUAUUAUCAUUUUUGUGAUUUGGUUUGGAAAGGACAGGAAAGGAGAGUUGUAUAAGAGAAAGGAAUGGGAUUCUAUCAAACAGGGGUGGGUAGACAUUUGCUGACAAAUGUACCUGGAAGGUCACCACUGAGUUGGGCUGGGGGAAUUAUCCGUAGUUGAGGACUACAUGGUUGACUGCUUGAGCAUAGAACCUCAGUGGGGAUUGUAACCUUUUGCAGGGAAAACUGAAAAAAAAAAAAAAAAAAAGAAUGUUAAUUUAGACAAGUACAAAGUUAGGAAGACAUGAAAACUUUUGAACAUAUUUGGGAUUGGCACGUGGUUUAGUGUGGUUAAAAUACGCCUAGGUUUAAAUCCUAGCUGUGCUGCAUUACUGGCUAUGUAAUCUUGUAAGCCUUUAAUAUCUUAGCCUUGGUUUCUUCUUCUGUUAAAUGAGGGUAAACAUAGUGCUGACAAAAUGUGAGAAUUAAAUGAACUAAAAUACCACAGCACCAUCACAUAGCAUCUUUCACAUUGCAAAUGCAAAAUCAAAGAUAGCUGCAUCAUUAGAAAUCUUAUUAUUAUUACUACUAGAGCUGGAGAGGAUUGGGAAAGAAUGGAGAAGUGGCAGGAGCUGAGUGAGGCUAAACACGUAGGCUGGGGUCAGAGUGUGACGCUAGAGUGAGAUAGUAUUAAUCACAGUUUUUUUUAAAAAAAUAGUUUUCCUUUCUUGUCUUCUCUGACAUCAUACUUCUGUGGGUUUUAUCUUACUUUAGAAGGUUGCAUCUCAAUUUUAUUUAGUGGGUUAUAGCCUGAGUCUUCCAGACUUCUUGUGAGACCAUGUCUUUUCCCUAAAAGAUUUAGUCUAUUUCAUGGACUUAAUAAGCAUAUCUUAAUUUAUUUUUUUCCCAAAUUCUACUCUGAACUGGGACCUUCCUUGGAUAUUUCAACCUAAGUAUUAUACCUCACCACACUCCUUUGUUCUUGUGCCUUCACUACUCCACGCUCUCCCACUUUACCCCCAUUACCACUCCCAACACCACACCCAAGAACUACUCAUUUCCAGUGCUUUUUAUCUCCGUUCUUGAUUCCCAGCAAUAAAAAAUAGUUGCAACUAAUAGUUUCUGGAAUGCAGUUUUAUUCUUAUGCACUUUCCAGAUGCCAUUUCUUUUAAUUGGCGUACCUAUCCCAAACUCAGAUAUCUUUCCAUUCUGAAGCCCCUAAAAUAGAUGAUCACUCCAUAUUCUAUGCCAUCUCUGUACCUUGAACAUGCUCUUGUGGCUGCACAUAUUGCAGUGUGUUGUAAAGGGCUGUUAAAAUAGCUGACUCUCCUAGAAUUACUCCGUGGGCAACUUGCAAGUCCAUGCCUUUUCAUCUUUGUAUCUGCCGUACCUAAUGAACUUCAUCACUCAUACUAGCAAUACAGACUCAUAAAAUAGUUGUUGAAACAACUGGUUUUAUCCCACAGGCAACAGAAAGCCACCAAAGUUUUUAAGUCAGUGAAUACAUUAUUGAAUAAGUGUUUCAGCAAGAUAAUUCUGGCAGCUAUGCUAGAUAGGUUGGAGGGAAAUGAGAGACAAAUGGCAGAAAAUCUAAGAAGCUUCUUUAUGCUCCAAAUGAGAGAUGGUGAAGGUUUGACAGUGACCAUAGAAAUUAAAAAGAAUGAAUAAAUGUGAGAUAUUUUGAGGCAAAAUACCUGAUUUAUUGAGCAAUGGGACAAAGGAGGUGGAGGAGAGAGGAAUAGGGGACAAUUCUUCAGUUUUUAGCUUGGUUGACCAGGUGAGAUAAAUGUUGAGAUAGGGAGCUUAGAAGGAAGACUUGCUUAAUGAGAAAAAAUAAAUGCUAGGUAUGGUUUUGAUGGAUGUGCUGAGGGACACGCUGCUAGAAAUGUCUAAUAGGAAAUUGGAGAUUGAGGUAAUGUAUAUAUUUUCUAUGUUUUAAAGCAUUUAUUCAAAUAUGUAUGUUGAUUUUAAGAGUAUUUGUACAACUUUAGGAGACAUUUCCUAUUCUUUGUUUUCUACGCCUUUAUCUCCUCCUUUACUAUCUAACCAUAGUGUACUCAGUGCUGUAUAGUAAGAAUAAGGAGUAGAAAAAAUAAGUCCACAGAGGGUUUGGCACCUCCUCACCCCUUCGUUAUUCUGACCUCCUCAUUAAGGAGCACAAACACACGGUGCUCAUCACCACAGAGGCAAUGAAUACACAGAAGUCAAGAAUGGAAAAAUUGCUCAAGGUCCUAUGGGAAUUAAUAGUGAAACUUACCUGCAUAUUUUAACUCCCCAAAGUUUUAACUCAAGAGAGCAUUAGACAAAUAUAGUUUAACUCUCUCUAAAGAUGUUGAAGAAUCCAUCGCUUCUCUCCCAUUCAAAAUAUAACAAUAAUGUCUUAAUGACAUUGUCUCCAGAGAGUAUUAGGCUUAUUAGGCUGUCUUGAAAACCCGUGACAUUAGCCUUUGAGUUUAACUAGAUUCUUGUGAUUCUAGAUGAGACAUUUAAGAGCAUCUGUCCCUUAUGACCCCUAAUGCAAUUGAAGAAGCAACGUGGUACACGUUUCCCUGAAUAGGAAGGAAAAGAGUAUUAUGACGUAUGUAGCAUGAGGUGGAAUAAUUUCCCUGAAGACUGUGAUUGCAUAGUGCAGAUUUUGUG
Long non-coding RNA from Macaca mulatta (Rhesus monkey), 3095 nucleotides. The record is from Ensembl. Lineage: Eukaryota; Metazoa; Chordata; Mammalia; Primates; Cercopithecidae.